Molecule: long non-coding RNA, 2105 nt
Organism: Nannospalax galili (Upper Galilee mountains blind mole rat)
Lineage: Eukaryota; Metazoa; Chordata; Mammalia; Rodentia; Spalacidae
Source: Ensembl
GACUUCCCUUGAGGUCAUUCCUUAAACAAUCAGAGCUGUUUACAUGGUGGUGUCGUUGUACUAACUAGAGUUAAUGACUCUAACCUAGAGAUGGAAGUGCAUAGAUUAUAUGGAAAUGUGAGUUUUAUUGAAGGGGCUUGAGUGUCCUUGGCUCUUGAUGUCUGGAGGGUUCUAGAACCAAGCCUCAUGGACCCCAGAGAUGGCUUGCUAUUAUAGCCCUUCCUUGGUUGAUGGACAUGUGGUGGUUGGGAUUUUCCCACAGUCAGCAUCCGGACAGUAUUUUUAGAGCAGCCCUGGGUGCCAGGUAUUCUCAGGGCUUGAGGGUGUGGCAACUGUCUGUGUCCUGGCAUUGCUAGCUGGAGAAAGAAAGCGAAGUAAGCUAUUCUUUUCAGAGGAUGGUUCCUGGGGUGGGAAGGCCUGCGCAUGGUUGAAGACACUGGCGAUGAGACUGAAGAGCUGGCAUCUUGUCCUUAUGGUUGUAGCUUGUUUCCUGAGGAUCCGUCCUGCUCUGGAGGGCGUGAUAAGACUGAUGAUGUUUAUUGUUGUGUUCAGUGGUCAGGUUCUGAAGUGACCCGGACUCCCUUUGUCUGCUGGCCUCUCCUGCAUCUUCCUAUCCCUGGGUUCCCUGGACGUCCUGGAGGCUGCCUCCAUCCCCUUCUGUUGUCAUCUGCCUUGUGGUCCUGGGCUGUGGUUGCGGGGAGUGGGUCAGUGGGCUGUCCUUGCAUGGCCUUCUAAUGAGGUUAUGUCUGGGGCAGGAGUGGAGGAAGCACAGACAGCGAGGACGAUGAGGAUGAGGACGAAGAAGAUGAUGACGAGGGGGUUGGCCAUGCAGCCUGUGGAGGGGCUAGUCCCCGCUCCUACUCCAGCCUCAGCCCUCAGCCUCCUGGCCCAAGCUGGACAGCCACCUUUGACCCAGUGCCUAUGGAUGCCCCAAAGGGUCCCCCAAUUUCCAGGGAGGCAGACAUGCCCCCCACCCAGAGCCUGACCAACCCUCCAGCCCAUGAUGCCCCACAGCUCAGGUCUCAGGACCCCACAACCCCCUCAGCACCUCAGGAAGCCACAGAUAGCAGCAAAGUAGCAGAGCCCUUGGACCCCUGCCAGGCCUUGGUUAGUGUCUCGGACCUCCAGGCCACCUUGCACGGGAUGUGUUCUGCCCCCAGCUCUUUGGACAGUGCAACCAUAGACCCCUCUACCUCUGUCCCAACCUCCGGGGCCCAGCAGCCCCCCCAGACCAUGGAGGGGGAAAAGAGCCCAGAGCCCUUGGGGCUUCUCCAAAGCCAGAGUACCCAGGCCCUCGAGAUGCCCAACGGCUCUGCCCCAGGAGGGCCUGUUUCCCCAGGCUCCCAGUAGCUGCCUGGUGGCAGUGGUGGCCAAAUUCUUUGUCCUCCCUGUGGAGCCCCCCAUUGGGGCAGGGUGGAUCCCAUGGUGGCCCCCUGCCACAUUUUCCUGUACCCUACAUUCUGUCCUCUGGUCUCCCAGGAAGGCUGGUACCAGGGAGACUCCCCCACCCAUCCCAUUUGCACUGAGAAGAGAAACUAUGGAGCUUUGUCUCCUAGAAUAAAAGACAGUCACAUAGAGAGAAAGGAGAGAGAGAAAUGUAUAUUAUAUAUUAUAUAUAUAUUGAGGGAGGAGAGAGAGAAAGGAAGCCAGGACAAUAAGUGGGCCCACAGCUCUGAAGCACAACCUCCUCGCCCCAACGGGGACUGGCGCUGGGGUUUGAGGCCACUGUCCCAUGUUCUGGUGCAGAUGCCCACCAGGCCUUUCACUCAGGAUCACCUUGGGGUGUAGCAGCGAGGGCGUUGGGGGCCUAAGUGGCCGAGCCUUCGUCCAGACCUUGUACUUCAGCCAGGCAUCUGGCCCCUGGCCCCAGAGAGCAGGGCUUCCCUGGCAACAUCGCCAGAGGCCGUGAAUCUGGUCUCUGGGUACCUGUGCUCCAAGAGUCCCAGCACUGCUGCCAAGUGGCCUUGUCCCAGCUCCUCCCCAGGCUGGCGUGCGUGUGCGUGUUUGCUGAGCUUGUUUCAUAUUGCAAAUAUAAAUAAAGGAAGACAGCUGAAGACUCCUGGUGUCAGACCUUGAGUUCAAGAUCAGGGUGGGGUGGGCCUGCU